RNAcentral lists this long non-coding RNA (1542 nucleotides) under Rattus norvegicus (Norway rat). Its description in RNAcentral is "long non-coding RNA NONRATT009488". Lineage: Eukaryota; Metazoa; Chordata; Mammalia; Rodentia; Muridae. The record is from RNAcentral.
AAAAAAAAAAAAGACAAACAAAAAACCUUCUUGACUCCAGACAGGAUUCGGAUCAUGUACAGAGAAACAGCAACCAGAAUGCAACUUUCUCAGUUUCUUGAAACUUCUUUCUUGACCGUUAAAGGAAAUAUAUUAUGCUAAGGAGAAAUAGAUGAGUCUUGCAUGUAAUCCUUGCAGAGUCACAAUGGAAGGAGUCUAGUGGCUCCAUGGUCACAUGUGAAUCCCGUGUACCCUACGAGGACAAGAUUAUGGUUGCCAAAUAUGUCCCCACAGUAGAGGUUAUCUCCUGUGUCCAGCACUCUGGAGCCUGUCCUGUGUCUACCUAUCAUCUUCAUUCUGUAUUGUAUUGCGGGGCACUGUCUGUGGCCUGUGCUGGCUGCUGCCGACUCAGGAAUCCCCUGCUGUCCCUCCAACUGCCACUCUGGACUCUGUCCUCACAGGUCACGCCAUCACCCCACCGCUUGACCUUAGCAAGCACAUGUGCUGGAAGGUCUACCAGUGGAUGCUUCUUGGUUUUUGAAGUUGUCCCCAUAUCUGUUUGCUUCACUGCUGACCUUACCUAGUACAACUGAGUCAGGGUUAGAAAUACCAGAUCCAUCGGGCAGUGAUGGCAGCGCACGGUUUUAGUCCCAGCACUCGGAAGGCAGAGGCAAGUGGAUCUCUUGAGUUCCAGGACAGCCAGGGCCACACAGAGAAACCCUGUCUUGAACCACUACCACCACCACCACCACCCUAAAAGAGAAAUAGCAGAUGCAGGACUGAGAACUGUAAUCAGGCUGAGCGUUUGAAAGUUAGUUUGUGUCAACUCGUAACAGUCCUGCACCUCAGCGCUUGCCCAGGGCGUGUGUGCAGGAGCUGAGCCAUCUGCACCUCUUAAAUGAAAGUACGGUUUCAACACAGGAGUCUGGUAUUCCUCUCUCCACUCCACACCACCUUCCCGCACAGGAUCUGGGAAGCUAGCACCUAAAUACCAGGCUUCUUUGGACUAUUAACAUCUUAAAUGUGAAGGGCACCAUCUAGUUCUUAAAAGCCAUUCUCAAGGUCUUGCGUCCUAGGACCACAGUAAGGAGCAAGUUCUGUACCCUCUUCUGUCUUCCAGGGGUCCCAGAGCCUCACCUAAAUAAUGUGUAGACAUCUUCCAUGUUCGUGUAACAGCCCAAAGUGAUACUUCUGAACCCUGAGCAAUCUACUCAAGAAAUUGAAUGGAAACUCAGACCACCUUAAGCUCUAAUGAGUGUGCUCUGACCACCAGGUGUGCGGAGAUUUUAGUGGGGCUUGACUCUCCCCUUGGCCCCUAGGUGAGUGUCAGCUCACACUUGGGGGCUCAGGCCUUGGUUCCAGGCUCUUGACUUGUGGGACCUAUCUGAGAAAGCCCUCAUCCUGUGAUACAGCCCUGUUUUGUAGAAGCUGACAAGGAAGGACUUCUUAGACUCUAGGCUAACCCAGGGGUCUGUGGGGCUAACAGGCUGCAUGAUGUUUUCUAAAGACCUGAUGUAAGGACUGACUGAAUAAAGUGCCACUGAUGACUUGUCUGCUGUACAA